RNAcentral lists this long non-coding RNA (216 nucleotides) under Elaeis guineensis (African oil palm). RNAcentral describes it as "long non-coding RNA (EGUI_LNC051260)". The record is from RNAcentral. Lineage: Eukaryota; Viridiplantae; Streptophyta; Magnoliopsida; Arecales; Arecaceae.
AGUAGACCCCUCUAUUCUUCCAGGCACUCAAAAAAUUAGUUUGUGUUGGAGUAAAUUUUUACCUACUCUACUUUAACACUCAUUUAAUAGGCUAGAUAUAUGAGAUAUAGUAUAUAAAAUAGUUUAUACACUCAACUAUGGCUAGAUGUGUUCAAGUGCACUACAAAAAGACAAUACAUGAAACUAAUUGUGUUAACACUUGACAGACAUAGAGCG